Molecule: long non-coding RNA, 2502 nt
Organism: Xenopus laevis (African clawed frog)
Lineage: Eukaryota; Metazoa; Chordata; Amphibia; Anura; Pipidae
Exons: 2
Source: RefSeq, a predicted model, not a curated record
CUCCUAAAACUUUUCAUUUCCCCCACAACUGUGCGGUUUAAUAGGAACCCUUUCUCAGACUGCAUUUCUGAAUGUGCAAAUAUUCAAUGGAACACUAAUUUAAAGCUGUGUGCUAAUGAAAUCCACCAGAGUUAAGUCCUCCACACUUUCAACUUUCACACCCAACCAAAUACAGUGAGCAUCUUAUUUUAAGUGGUGCUGCAAAUGCCAAAGAUAAAUGUAAUGUUUGAAUGUCAACCUAAAAUAUUUUGCCUAAUAAAACUUUCUAAUUCUAAGCAACUUGGCAAUAUACAUUCAUUACAAUAUUUCGAUUUUAAAUCGAAAAGCUACUGAAAUCAGGAUAUUAUCUGCUGAUUAGACUGAAACAAUGUAAGACAAUCCAGUUGAAUAACAUACUUCUGCACCAUUGUUUAAAAAGGAACAACCAGAAGUUUAGCAAAUGUUGGUGUCACUAGCAAUUGUUUUUACAAAGCUUUAAAAGCACUGAAAACGUGUAUAUUGGAAACUUCAAAAGAGUGCACGUACUUCUGCAGCCAGCCGGUGAGGUAAAAAAAAUUUAUUUCAUCUCAUUAAAAGUAAAAUUGUCCUAAGGCUGGCUGCAGGAGUGCGUGCGCUUUCUUUUGAUUAACGCCUCAAGCUAUGGUUUCGGGGCACAGCACCCGGGCCAGCUAAUGGAUUUGGUGAGUUUGCCUACUGCUGACUUUAAGAGCACAUUAUCUUUGAAUCAAGUGUUUGAAGUUUUGGACCUGGGGUUUCUACACCCAGGUCACUUCGCCCCUUGGGUGAGCUAUGGUUUCAAAUAUAUCUCUCUCCCUCUCCUUUUAAAGGAGAACUAGCCUAAAAGUUUUAUUUCUGUAUUAUAAGGAAUUCAGUUAUCUCAGGAGUUUCCCAUCUUAGGGAUGUCGGACGCACAUGCUGGGUGUACUUUGAGCAGCUGUUGGAAACUGAGAUUUGUCUGUCACAGCGCUGAUUUAUGAUUGGCAGCUCAACCUCAAUUGGCAUCAAUUAUUUACUGUUCAGACUUGUAUUGUGACAUUUGCAUUCUAUAUAUUCAAUAUUUCAGUAUCUUAUCAGUCCCUAAGCUCAGUAACUUGACAGUCCAAAAGCAUGUGCAGUGAAUCUAUAGAAGGGAUGAUGUGGAGCUACAGGGCCAUCUAUGGGGACAAUUCUUUACUGCUAAAGGGCUGUAGUUGCCUUGGGCUAGUAUAGAAAAAAUAAUCAACAUUUCUUCCCUACCAAGCUUUAUUUCUCCUUUAAAUAAUUGAGGUUUCCUUUUAUCACUGCUCCAAAAAAUGCCACCCUUACCUGUGAUGAGAAUUUGGCUCCCUCUUCUGAAACUAGUGAGGAGAUUGCCAAUUGUUACCCAAAACCUCUGAGGUACACGGAGGCAAAUGUAGCAAAUACGUUUAGGAUGCACCCAAUCCACUAUUUUGGAUUCAGCAGAACCCCUGAAUCCUUCACGAAAGAUUAAAUUAAGGGUGGGAAGGGGUAAAACAUUUUUUACUUCCUUGUUUUGUGACUAAAUCGCAUGAUUUCCCUCCCCACCCUUAAUUUGCAUAUGCAGAUUUGGUUUGGCUGGCCGGAAGGAUUCGGCAGAAUCAUGGAUUCGAUGCAUCCCUAAAUAAGUUAUUCCUUGAACCAAAUUUAUAUAGACGACUAACCGUUCAAGUCACUUAAACUGUAGAGUAGAAAAACUCUAUAGAUAACUGUAAUAAUGUAACUUUCUAAGCAAAGGUGUUCUGUAUCCUAAAACUGUGAAGCUUGGUUAUGAAGUACAAUACAACCUUCAGUAAUGUAACUUUUACAGACCCAAAUCCCAUUCCCCAUGCACAUCUUAAAGCAAUGAUGCAGAUGGCUGCCACUACAACAUUUUUCUUUUGUAUUUCUUCAAAAUAGUACUGUAUCUAUUCGGGUUUGAGGUAUGCAUGUUGUCAUAACGUAUAAGACAUGAUUAUCCUGUACAGUUUUACUUUAAACUGUGCUGUAUGAUGUAAUUUGUCACAACUCCCUUAACCUUGUGUACAGUUAAUCAGACAUGUUAAUCCACAAUGCUCAAGAUCUAUUUUCUGGAUAACUGGUAUUUCCAUAAUGUGGAUCUCUACCUCUAGCUUGCCAAGUCAUUUAUAUCUUAAACCCAAUAGGAUUGUUCUGCCUCCAAUUUAUUUGGACGUGUGUGUGUAUAAUCUCAUCUAAAAUAAAACAAAUGUAAUCUCCUUCACAGGGAGUUUUCUUGUCACUCCUGACACCACAGGUUAAAAUUUUUUUUUUUAAACAUACAUGCCCCUUCAAUGUGGCCACACUUUUUUAGCUUGACAUCUGGCAAACAUUGAGCUGUUUCUUCAGGUUUUAAUUUUUCUGAAGUUGUUCUUGGUAUUCACCAAGGCACCUGGCCUAUCGCAUAUUUUUGCUGACUUAAUUGGUAGUGCAUAAACUUUUUUGGGGGGGUUGUUUUCUUUAGUGCUGUCAUAUUUUGGAUGCUUUCUCAAACAUUAUUUCUUUUUA